UACGAGGGGGGCGAGCGUUGUUCGGAAUUAUUGGGCGUAAAGGGUGCGUAGGCGGUUCCGCAAGUCCUGUGUGAAAUCUUCGGGCUCAACUCGAAGUCUGCACGGGAAACUGCGGGGCUUGAGUGUGGGAGAGGUGAGUGGAAUUCCCGGUGUAGCGGUGAAAUGCGUAGAUAUGCGGAGGAACACCGAUGGCGAAGGCAAUCCCCUGGGCCUGCACUGACGCUCAUGCACGAAAGCGUGGGGAGCAAACAGG
RNAcentral lists this ribosomal RNA (253 nucleotides) under uncultured bacterium. RNAcentral's name for it is "partial 16S ribosomal RNA". It matches the Rfam family "Bacterial small subunit ribosomal RNA", at positions 524 to 776 of the family's 1533-position model. The record is from RNAcentral.